RNAcentral lists this ribosomal RNA (253 nucleotides) under uncultured bacterium. RNAcentral describes it as "partial 16S ribosomal RNA". It matches the Rfam family "Bacterial small subunit ribosomal RNA", at positions 524 to 776 of the family's 1533-position model. The record is from RNAcentral.
UACAGAGGGGGCAAGCGUUGUUCGGAAUUACUGGGCGUAAAGGGCGCGUAGGCGGCCUUCUAAGUCGAACGUGAAAUCCCCGGGCUCAACCCGGGAACUGCGUCCGAUACUGGAAGGCUUGAAUUCGGGAGAGGGAUGCGGAAUUCCAGGUGUAGCGGUGAAAUGCGUAGAUAUCUGGAGGAACACCGGUGGCGAAGGCGGCAUCCUGGACCGGUAUUGACGCUGAGGCGCGAAAGCCAGGGGAGCAAACGGG